Molecule: long non-coding RNA, 954 nt
Filed under: Phasianus colchicus (ring-necked pheasant)
Lineage: Eukaryota; Metazoa; Chordata; Aves; Galliformes; Phasianidae
Description: lncRNA (ENSPCLG00000019586.1)
Source: RNAcentral
AAUGUGAAGGAUCAAGUCCUUUACACUACCUGUGUCAGAGAGUGUUAAGUCCUAACUGGAAAAAAGUGAUAUUGCUGAGAUGAACUGGCCUCAGUAACUUUGAUCAGAAUUUGGCAGGGUAAAGACUGGCUCCAAGGCACUUUUAUUCUGCAAGAUAAUAAGUAGGAUCUGUGUCAUCUCUUGGAUACAGGCUAUGUUAUUCCAUAACACUGUGGUUCUAUCACACUGGAAAAGAUAUUUGCCAAAAUAUCUGCACCCAGUAUCUGUCAAAAUCCCAAGUUAUUAAUCCCAAUAUUUAUGGAUGUGGGGACAAUAAAAUUUAGCCAACAUAUUUUUAAACAGCUCCCAUUGGUUUGUCAGCUCAUCAUCAAUCACAUCCCAUGCCUCCUAUAGCAGCUGCAUGGCAGAGUUCCACAGUCACAGACUGGCCAAGGUUGGGAAGGACCUCUGGGUCUGAAUGAUUAAAUCCCUUUUAAAGCAGGGACACCCAGAGCAAUGUCUCCAAGGUCACACUCAGGUGGCUUUUGAAGAUCUGUGGGGAGGGAGACUACAACUUUUCUGGACAACCUAUGUCAGUGCACUGUCACUCACACUUCUAGAACAACACUGCUAAGUGCUGUUUGUAGGGUCAUAGAAGGUAAAGUAGCAUUGACAAAACUUCCUGAAGGCCACUGCUUUUCCUGCAAGGAUAUUUCCACCUGUGGUUUUGGCCUGAGUAGUCAACAUGACUAGCAAUAUGGUAUGAUUGUCAUGAGAUCUGGUGCAAAACCAGCAUGUACUUUGAGCAUCAAGAGAGAUGAUAGCACUACCUUCACAGCUUCCAGCACAGCAAGAAAGGGGCCAGUACUGGCAGUGCUGGAAGUGGAAGGAAAGGAUAGACUGAUGAAUUCUAGUGGUAGCAGUACUUCAGUGACUAAAGCAUGGAGUUCAGAGGAUGGAAACACAUUAGGAUGA